Molecule: ribosomal RNA, 291 nt
Filed under: uncultured Alphaproteobacteria bacterium
Lineage: Bacteria; Pseudomonadati; Pseudomonadota; Alphaproteobacteria
Description: partial 16S ribosomal RNA
Rfam family: Bacterial small subunit ribosomal RNA
Source: RNAcentral
AACGAACGCUGGCGGCAGGCCUAACACAUGCAAGUCGAGCGAUAUAGCGGCGGACGGGUUAGUAACGCGUGGGGAACGUGCCCCUUUACUACGGAAUAGCCUCUGGAAACGGAGAGUAAUACCGUAUGUGCCCUUCGGGGGAAAGAUUUAUCGGUAAAGGAUCGGCCCGCGUUAGAUUAGGUAGUUGGUGGGGUAAUGGCCUACCAAGCCUACGAUCUAUAGCUGGUUUGAGAGGAUGAUCAGCAACACUGGGACUGAGACACGGCCCAGACUCCUACGGGAGGCAGCAGU